GGAGUGGGUCAGGCGAACGCGCGAUCUAAUCAUACGCAUUAGACGUGAGGAAAGUCCGAGCUCCACAGGACAGGAUGCUGGGUAACGCCCAGGGGGGGUGACCCCACAGAAAGUGCAACAGAAAGAUACCGCCCGCGNUCGCGUGGGUAAGGGUGAAAUGGCGAGGUAAGAGCUCACCGCGUCAAUGGCGACAUUGACGGCACGGCAAACCUCAUCCGGAGCAAGGCCAAAUAGGGGAAGAGAGGUGGUCCGCCUCACGAUCAUUCCCGGGUAGGCUGCAACGAGGCGAUGGGUAACUUUCGUCCCAGAUAAAUGCUCGCACGGCGCGCCGAACAAAGCGCGUAGACAGAACUCGGCUUAUAGACCCACUCCAACU
Molecule: RNase P RNA, 376 nt
Filed under: Gemmatimonadota bacterium
Lineage: Bacteria; Pseudomonadati; Gemmatimonadota
Description: Gemmatimonadetes bacterium RNase P RNA component class A
Rfam family: Bacterial RNase P class A
About the family: Ribonuclease P (RNase P) is a ubiquitous endoribonuclease, found in archaea, bacteria and eukarya as well as chloroplasts and mitochondria. Its best characterised activity is the generation of mature 5'-ends of tRNAs by cleaving the 5'-leader elements of precursor-tRNAs. Cellular RNase Ps are ribonucleoproteins.
Source: RNAcentral